GUGGUUGCUCCACAAAUUAAUAUAAUAUCAUCACCACCAUGGUCCAACCACCGCGGAGUAAAACUGCUGUCAUAGUCGCCAUAAUUUAAGUUCCGUGAAGUAAAAUAACUACUACUGCGACCAUAAUUCGAAUGUUGCCAACAUCUUCCAUAUCCACUAACUGGUCUCUCACAAGGAGCAGCAUCGGAAGUGGGUGCUCCACAAAUGGAUGUAAUAUCACCACCACCACCGUGGUCCAACCAUCGUGGAGUAAAACUGCUACCGCCGUCCUCGCCAUAAUUUAAGUGCCUCCGGCAUCUUCCAUUUACUUGCUUGUUUGAUUUGAUUUUGAUGGGCACAUGUCUUUAGUUGGAACUACUACUGCUACCAUAAUUCGAAUGUUGCCAACAUCUUCCAUUUCCACUAACCGGUCUCUCACAAGGAGCACCAUCGGAAGUGGCUGCUCCACAAAUGUAUGUAAUAUCACCACCACCACCACGGUGAUCUAAGUGCCGCCGGCAUCUUCCAUUUACUUGCUUGUUUGAUUUGAUUUUGAUGGGCAAAUGUCUUUUGUUGGAUACAUGUUUAUCUAGUUUCCGAAGGAUAUCAUUGGAGCGACGUGCGCCAUUAGAACCUAUAUUCCAUGCAUAAUCGUAUUUUUCAAGAAGUCGAGCUUCAGUUCUUUGAGCUGCUGCCUUACUUUUCAUCUAUUUCACAAAGAAAAUAAAAAUGGUGUUUGGAAGUACAAGGAUAGUCACUAAAUUCCACAAUUUUAUCUCUAAACUUUUUCUUUUUGAGUCCAUACUAAUUCUAUAAUUUAGUAGCGCUCUUAAGCUAAGCAAUAAAAAUAAAAAAUGUAAAAAUCAAUCCAAACCGAAAUGUUUAAACGAUUUAUAAAAUAUAAAUUAAAAAUCAUAGUUAUAACAACGGUUAUUUAAUUUAUAAUUAAUUUUAAUUUUUUAUUAUUCAAAAAUAAAUAUUUUAUAUUUAAAUAAUAGAAUAAUUUAAAAACUUUAUAAACAUCAUGCAAGUAUUAUUGAUUAUUUUUAUUUACUUAAUUUAAAAAGUUAUUUAUGGAAUACUUUUUUGAAAUUCUAUCAAAUAAUGUCCAAAUGCAAUAAAACAAAGCUUGCCAAAAUAAAUCUAAAAAAUAAAAAUAAAAAAUUAAUAUGAAAAAUAAAAAAUCAAAUCUAGUUAACAUAGUUAUUUAAAAAGUUUUAGGAAAAAAAUUCGACUAAAUCAAACUCGAUACUACAUAGAGAUAUAUAUACAUGGUUUUUGACCUAGUUUUUGAAACUGGUCAAACUCGAUCCAAGUUCAAUUCAAUAAAUUAUUUUAAAAAUUAUAAAAAUUGAAAAAAUAUUAAAAAAUAUAAAAUUAAUUCAACCAUCAAUUCAGAGUAAAACCGAAGCCUCUUUUUCCGAACUGAUUUUCAAUCUUACAACAACCGACACCAAUAAAGUUAGAAAGUAGAAAAACAUAAACUCACAGAAGCCCAUCUGUAGAUAAUAGAGCAACCCCUCGCAAAAAUUGGAUCAAACAAAAGACAUUUUUUUUCCCGAAAUCCAUUUUGUCUACAGAGAUGAGUACCAUUACGGCCAUAUUGUUGGAGUCUUACUCUUAUAUUUUCAGCCUCCCCAACAUAAACCACCAAACCAGGUUCAAGCUUGCCAUGGCGGUCCCUACUCGGCAGUUUACACACCGCAAGCUCAUAGGUUCCUGGACCUAAACUUUGUGGAAGAUUUUCAAGCCUGUAUCUGGUCACCGCUCCACCUUUCCCAUUUUUCCAGCCAUGAGGACAAAUAAGAAGCUAAACAAAUGAAAAGAAACCAAAAAGACCAAGAUCAGAUUAAGGUUUAUAAAUCAAAUUUAAACUGGGUAUAGAUGAUCUUUUUCAGCAAAAUCAAAAGCAUGAUUAAGAGUUGGAUUAAGGCAGAUUAAAAAACCUUCCAUUCGGAGAAGUAGGAAUCGUGGUCGGUCUUCUUGUGAUCUUCUCUGUUCGACCUGUCGACGUGAACGGGAAUCCCAUCUUCUACGACUAUAAGCACCAUUAUGCAAAUGUCUCUGAUUGCACCACUUUAUGAAAGGGCAUUUCUUAUUUAUAAUAAGGUUGAAAUUGCCUUCUUUCUUUUUAUUUUUUAUUUUUAUUUUUACUUUAGACUCAAUUCGUUUUAUUUUAUUAUUUUAUAAAAAUUUAAAAUUUAAAAUUUUAAUAAAUUUUAGAAAAAUUAUCCAUAUUAUUAAUAAGGCAUGUAUAAAUUGCCAUGACAAUGUUAUUAUUUUUAACAACUCUAUAUUUAAAAUAUUAAUAAUUUUAUUUAAAUAAAAAAAGUUUAACUAAAUCUUAAAGAUUAAAUGACAAUAAAAAACUUUAGAAACUAAAUUUAUCAUCUUACCUUUAUGUUUUGUCCAUGCCUUCCCCAUCUUUCCCUCAUCUUACUAGUGAAAUAUUUUAAUCCUUAAGUUACAAGUAACCGACAAAAUUAUUUGUACGUUGAUGAUAUGAUAGAUCUAAGACUCGUGUCAUGAUGUGAUUCAAUCGAGUGAAUUUUAGCGUCCUUCGUAAGCUGUCCUUUUGCAGUCUUGUCUUCUUUUACGUGUGAAAAUGAGUUUUUUUCUUCUUAAAUGUAAUAAUUUAUUAUACUCUAUAAAAUGGGUCUUUUAUAAAAAUAUUACAAAAAAAAUUAAAAUAAUAUUAAUUUUUUUAUUUAUCAAAAUAAUACAAAAAACAAAAAAAUAAAAAAAAGCUAUUGGAGGAUGUGACAGCACCUUGGUGGACCUUAUAAUGGGAGGACCAUUCGGCUGUGGGUGGAGAAGAAAAGGAGAGGCAAAGGAGAAGAAAAAAAGAAAGAAAAAGAAAGAAAGAAAAGGAAAGGAGAAAAAAGAAAGAGAAAAAGAAGAAAAUGUAAUUUUUUGUAAUAUUUGUGUAAAAAAUUUAUGUUAUGUAUAUUGUAUGUGUUUUAUUAUUUUAUUUAGCAUAUAUAUUUUAUGAAAUUUAUUUAGCAUGAAAAAAUUCAUUUUAUGUACAUUUUAUGUUAAUUAGAAUUUUUUUAUGAAAUUUAUUUAGCAUGUUGUAAUUAGUUUUUUUACAAAAAUAACAUUAAAAAUAAAAUGAUAAAAAAUAUGUUUAAGAAAACAUAAAAUACUAAAAGAAAAAAACGGAAAUUGUAUAUUCACCGAAAGUAAGAAAAUCCGAAAAAAAUUGUAUAUUUAAAAAACACACUAAAUUAAUAAAUUUCAAACAUAAUGUACUAAAAUAAUGUAAAAUUAGAAAAUUAGAAAAUAGUAUAUUUUUUAAAGUAAUAAAAUGUAGAGAAAAUAAUACGAACAAAAUGCCAAAGUAAGGGUUUUUUACUAAAUUUUAAAAAAAAAGAAUUAAUUAAUACAUUUCAAACAUAAUGUACUAAAAUAAUGUAAAAUAAUAAAAUACGAAAAUAAUAUAUUUUUAUUGAAAGUAAUAAAAUUUGGGAAAAAAUACGAGUAAAUGGCAGAAAUGAGGUUUUUGUUUUAAAUUUAUUUAAAAACACACUAAAUUAAUAAAUUUCAAACAGUGUGUACUAAAAUAAUGUAAAAUAAUAAAAUUAGAAAAUAGUAUUUUUUAAAUAAUAAAAUUCGGAAAAAAAAUAUGAACAAAGGGCCGAAAUAAUGGUUUUUUACUAAAUUUUUUUUUGAAGUUGCAGGCAUCGCAAUGACUUCAUUGAUUAAUAGCGAUACAUACAUAUCUGAUGCGGCUAAUAACAUGGUAAUAUAUUAUUAUUUGUUAAUCACGGGUUCUAUUAAAAAAUGAUAUAUGUAAUAUAUAGAAAUAAAUCAUAUUAUCCUAAUAUUUUUCUGUAAUUUAACACUAUCAGGGCUCGUACCGAGUAAUAAGGGGCCGGGUGAAUGGUUUAAAGUAUCCCCGGAUACUUAGGGUUUUUACUAAUAAUAAUAACUAACCAUAAUAAUAAUAUUAGUUUUUUACUAACAAUAAUUAUUAAUAACUAAACCCUAAAAACUAACAAUAAUAAUACUAACUAGAACCAUCAAUUUGAGUUUUUAUUAAUCUUAAUAACUAUCAAUAAUAACUAAACUAACAACAAAAAAACAUAAUAACAAGAUAAUCCAUUAUUUUUUUUUAAAAUACCUUAUUUUUUUUCUUCUCUUUCUCUCUUUUUUCCGGCACCACCUUCUUCUUCUUAUUCUCCUUCAACUAGAUGGAUACUGGACUUAUAAUACAAGUGGUGCCGUCUCUGCCACAGGUAUCUUUGGUGCCGCAUGUGGCAUCCCAUUUUCUACUGUUUUUUUGUAUUAUUUUGGUAAAUAAAAAAAUUAAUAUUAUUUUAGUAUUUUUUUAUUUUUGUAAUAUUUUUGUAAAAGACCCCUAUAAAAUACUUAUUAAAUUCUUAACUCUGUCUAUAAAAUUUAAAAAUUCUAUUAUACCAAAUAUUUUCUCUCAUGUUUAUUAUUUUUUUAAUAUUUUUUUAAUUUUAUAUAAUUAACGUAAACAAUCAUACCCAAAAGCUAAGUAAAAUAUAUAAAAUAUUCUAAAAAAAGUAUUCGUAUAAUGUUUAAAAAAUAAAAAUGUUACAAAUUAAUAAACAAACAUUUUUCCAUGUAUUUUUUUAUUAAAUUUUUUCUUGUUUAUACCAAAUAUUUUCCCUCAUGUUUAUUAUUUUUUUUAAUUUUAUAUAAUUAACGUAAACAAUCAUACCCAAAAGCUAAGUAAAAUAUAUAAAAUAUUCCUAUAUUCUUGGCCUCUUUAAAUAUUAAAUACCAUGAAAAUUAACACUAUAUUACAAAAUACCUUUCUCAAUAUUUUCACUACGUGAAACAAAAUUUUAUUUACUUACACUUGCAAUUUGUGGGGGCAAAAAAAAGAACCUGUUCGCUCAAUCGACUUGCUUAGUCAGAAAAUUUGUAUAGAUUCGCAUAUCGAAUGAACAGCUUAGCAACUCGAAAAGAACCUGUUCGCUCAAUCGACUUGCUUUUUUGCACGUUUAUGCACCUGUCCUCCAGAGUAUAAGAACCUCAUCAGCUAAAAGGCUGAAAUUGGCAAAAAAAAUUGGGGUUCAUGUAUUUAUUUUUUUAAUAUCAUGAAUCAUGAGAACCUUGGACCAUCAAAGUAAUACGCUUCGCGCUGUCCGCCCGAAGACUCGAAGACUAUCUCCUUUCAAACCAAUCUGGGAGGAGAAUCAUAUUCAACAUAACCUCAAAAGACUUGUUCCGACAAAAAUUUCGAAACAACAAUUUAAAAACAGAUGAUGCAACCCUCUGUUCGGUGAUUUGCUAUCAGAAGAGUUAUAUGAUUAUUCUACAAAGUUUGUAUUCAAAGGCAGAUUGAUUACCUCAGGACUAUCAGCUGGGAACCACCGUAAUAGUACACCAAGACAAACAACAGCUGGAAUCAGCUUGAAAAGCAAUGGAGUAGUCACCUGCAUGGUAAUUUUAUGAGUAAAAUCUGAACCUUGAGAGCUAACUAUGAAAGAACUUUAAGAAAUUGGCAGUAAAAGUACCAUGAAAGCCCCUGUAGUGGGAGUCGGGUUGGAUUUUUUCUCCUCCACCCGGAAAAUGAGCAUCCUUGUACAUUAGAUCAAAAGGUAAAUUGGUCCUUCUAUUAAAAUUCCAUCCAUUUCUAUUAUUAACAAAAUGACAAUUUACUCUUUGAUCUAACAUAUAGGGAUUAAUUUGCGCUUUUUUUGAGCAAAAGAGGCAAAAUACAAUUUGACUCGUAGUACAGGGAGCUCCAUGGUACUUUUAUCUGAUUUUGGCUAAUUACAUAUACAUAAGGAAAAAAAAAAAGGAUUCACAACAUCCAGAUCAUCCUCACAAGACAAUAAUACAAAAGCUACAACAUAAUCCAACAGCAGCCUCCAAGUGAAUACAUAAUCAUGUUAUUGCUAAGUUAAUCCUUCGGCUCCGGCACUCACCCAAACAUAUUAAACGGUGACUCUCGAUUGAUCAAUGCUCGGGCCAACCUGCCUUGACCUAUCGGUGCUGCCAACACCUUCCAUUUCCCUUGACUGGUCUCCGGCAGAAUGAGCGAUUGCGGGUUGGUGCUCCACAAAUGGAUGUACCCUUCCUGUCAUUGUUUGAGUUUCGCGGAGUAAAAUCAUUGCUGCGGCUGCAACUAUAUUUUAAGUGCUGCCAACACCUUCCAUUUCCAUUACCUGUUCUCUUGCAGGGGGUACCAUUGGAGGUAGGUACUCCACAAAUGGGUGUACUACAAUUGUUGCUGUUGAGACUUGAACUCGAGUCGAAAACAUGGGAUGGACUCUUUUUGUCUAAUCCGGAAACAAGAGUGGUAAUCAUCAUCCCCGUAUGAUUUUCAUAAAAAACUGAAGCUUCUUCAUCAGAAUAUGAAUUGAAAACAGCAUAUGGCAUUGUUUAAUAUCUUGUUAUCUCGGAAUCAGAGCUAUAAAUUCUCCUCCCUUUGUGCAAAUCACAUCCUUUUCUCCCGGAAACGGGUUGCCUUCUACAAAGAGAACCAUCAUCCAUGGCAACCCCACAAAUAGGACUACAAUGCUCGAUUUCGGGAUAGUCCUCUUUAUGUGGUUGUGAUUUCAUACUCAACCUCAUGGAAGACCCUGUAGUUUUCUUUCCCUUGUGUUCAGCGCAUCGUUUUCUUCCUUCAACCGGUGGCCUUUUACAAAUCGAACCAUCAUCUAAAACCACCCCACAAGAGAAGGUUUCGUUCUCGUUGGAGCCACCGUGAUUCGAAACCAACCGAGGCCGGGAUCUGCUGAAGUUGAAAACUUGAAGCAAAAAGUUGUGGUUCUCUCCAUUUUUGUAUUUGCCAAACUCAUUGUCGUCCGAAACUAGCUUGCUUGCUUUGAUUUUGAUUCCUACUUGCUUUUGAAGGAAGGGCAGAUGCUUUUUGGAGAAAUUGGCUAAUUUCAUAAGAUUUGAUGCAUGCUUAUCUAGUUUUUGAAGGAUAUCAUCGUGACGACGUACACCUUUUGAGCUUAUUCCAUGCAUAAUCAAAAGUAGUGAGAAGCUGAGCUUCAGUUCUCCGAGCAUCUGCCUUGUUUUCCAUCUAUUUAACAUGGGAAAGUAAAAUAACAUUAGGAAUUAGAUUAAAAACCAAAUUUUGGAUACAAGGAUGAACAUGUAAUAAGAACAUUGAUGAAAAAGUGCAUUUUCAAAGCUUCUUGGCCUUCAAAAACCAUAUCAUCUGCAAUUCAUUCAAGACUAAGAGCUUAUAACAGUAUGAAGAAUAUAUAUAUAUAUUAGUUCACCAUUUGUGAAAUUGGCCUUUACACGUAUAGGCUUUCAUUGUUCUGGUUAUGUUCCUUGGACUCUUAAUUUUUCUUGAAGUAUCCGACACUCUUGUCUAACACAUGGAUAUGGGGAUAUGACCUCCAAAGAUCCUCCAAAUACAUGAAAAAACAUUAAAAAGACUAAUCAUAUUCGUGAGGGAUACAUAUCCAUAUCCGACAAUCACACCCGAGUCCGAGUAACAUAGGUUCUUGGAACACAUUUUUCCCUAUGAUUCUUACCAUUUUCACCCUCCUAAGCAUAAACAUUAACAGUUAUUAAGUGCUUAAAUGCUACAACUAAUCAAUUAAAGCCAGUAAAGGGCCGUUGUAGUAUAAUCAGCAAACAUUAGGAAAGCUUCAAAAUCUUAUAUAUAUGAACUAGAAGAUCAAACAUCACCAGAACUCCUUCACUAUGUAUGCACUAUGAACUUACGAUUGUUAUAUUUUGCUACUAAAAUCUACACCUGAAAUAAAUUACAGUUUCAUUUCAAAUUUUAAACUUUCUCAAAUUUCCGUUCAAACUUUCAUAUGAUACUAAUCAAGUUAAAAAAUUAGCCAAAAAACUUCAAAAUAUUAUAUAUUAUGUGUGUGUGUGUGUAUAUAUAUAUAUAUGACCUAGAAGAUCAAUAAAACAUCACUAGCACUUCAUCACUAUGCAUGAAUUAUGAACUUAACCACUGUUAUAUUUUACUACUAAAAUCUACACCUGAACCUCAUAUAAAUUACAGUUUUAUUCCAAGUUCAAAACUUCUCAAAUAGGUUCCAUUCAAACUCUCAUAUGAUAUCAAUCAAGUUAAAUUUAGCAAAAGAAACAGAAAAAUAUUAUAUAUAUAUGAACUAGUAGAUCAAUCAAAACAUCACUAUCACUCCACUAAGUAUGAAUUAUGACUGCUAAAAUCUACAUUUGAUAUAAUUUACAGUUUCAUUUCAAAUUCAAAACUUCUUAAAUAGGCUCCAUUCAAACUCUUAUAUGAUACCAAUCAAGUUAAAAUUAGCAAAAGAAACUUCAAAAUAUUAUCAAGUUAAAAUUUCACCAGAACUCCUUCACUGUGCAUGAACUAUGAACUUACCAUUGUUAUGGUUUACUACUAAAAUCUACACCUGAUAAAAAUUACAGUUUAAUUUCAAAUUCAGAACUUCUCAAAUAGUUUCCUUUCACUAAUAUGAUGCCAAUCAAGUUGAAAUUAACAAAAAAUUUGAAAACAAAAAGUACUCACAGGAGCCCAUCUGUAAACAAUAGAGUAGCCUCUAGCAAAAAUGUCCUCAAAGCAGCCACAUACUUUAUUAUCCCCCGAGUCAUUUCUGCCCAAAUGAGCACCUGUACGGCCAUAUUGUUGUAGCCUUGACCUGACAUUAUCAGCCUCCCCAAGAUAAACCACCAAAACCUUGUCUGAGUCAAGCUUGCCAUUAUGGUCCCUGCUCGAAGGUUUAUUUAUAGCAAGCUCAAAAAGACCUGAGCUUGCAGUUUUGGGGAGAUUUUCAACCCUGUAUCUAGCCACUCCUUCUUUCCCCACUGAAUGGUCUUCCCAAUCAUGAGGACCAAUUAGAACCUAAACAAAUGACAAACAAAAGGACCCAGAUGAGAUUAAGGUUCAUAAAUCGAAUAUAAAAACUGCGCUUACAUAAUUGUUUAUCAAAAUCGAUGAGAAAUGGGAUAGGGAUUCAUUUUUUUGCUUUAAAAAAAGCCUGUUGUCAAUGGAUGGUUGAAUUAAGAGGAGAAAAACUGAGAAGAAUUUAUGGAAUUUGAAUGGGGGCACCUUCCAUUUGGAGAACUGAGAGUCGUGCUUGGUUCGUUUGUGAUCUUCUCGGUUGAAUCUGGUACCACAUCGGCCAAUUUAGCCGCUCCCAUUGGGAUCGGAUCUUCCUUGUGGGAAAGAACCGUUGUAUUUGUUUGCGCCACUUUAUAACGGGCGUUUUUUUUCAUUAUAAUAUUGCCCUAGUUGCAUUUUUUGUUUUUGGAACUUACUUUAUUAUUAAAAUAUUUGGAUUUUUUUCUUCUUUUAGGAAUAAAACAUUUGAAUUAUUAAUAAUGUGUUUUAAACCGAAUUAGUGGUCCAACCGGUUGAGCUAUUGGUUCAUCGAUUUAAUUGGUCUGAUCGAUACAACCAGUUCAAUUAAAAAAUUAAAAAUUGAUUCAACCGAUUUGAUCGUCGAUUCAACAAGUUUUUAGUCAGUUCAAUUGCUUCGUAUUGAUUCUUAAUCUAACUAGUUCAAAGCCAAUUUUCGGAUCGGUUCGUGAUUCAAUCGGUUCAAUUGAUUGGUCCGGUCCGAUUCAAACAAUACUAAUUCUUAAGACUUAAGAUACUAUAUUUUAUAUUCUCAAAAAAAAUUUCUUUUAUUGUUUUUUUAAGAAUGAUUUUUUAAAAAAAAAUGGUUCAAUCGUCUGAUUCCUAAGUCAAUUUGUCUAAUGGAUUUCUCCGAAUCAGUACCCUUACCAAUUUCGAGCUAACUGGUCUAAUUCAAGUUUUUAUGAUUUUUUUAUAAUUUUUAUAAGUUUAUAUCAAUUUUAAUAUUUUUUUCAUAAUUUUUACAAUUUUUUUUAUUAUUUUUAAAGUAUUAUGUUUUUUAAUUUAAAUAUUGUAAAUACCUUUUAUUUUUUUAUAAUUUAUUAUAUUUUUAUAAUAUUUGUAAGUUUUUAUAAAAAAUUAUAAUUUUAAUAACUUUACAUCAAUUUUAAUAUUUAAUGUUUUUUAUAAUUUAUUUUGAAUUAUUUUAUUUUAUUUAUAAUUUUUUUAUUUUUAAUAUUUUUUAUGAGAAUAUUAGAUUAAGCCAAAAGAUGUCACGUGUCACCAUUUAAUUGAUUUGUCAAUUUAAUUUAACAGUCAACAUGAUCAAUAAUGAAACCCGUUAAUGGGGGGAUUGAUUAAUUGUUUUAGUUAACAUCAAGGGCUUAAUUAGGUGCGAAUUUAAUACAUGGACUUAAUUAAUCUCUUUUGUAUUUUCUUAAGGGUUUUUUGACAUAUAAACCUAUUAUAUAUAUUAUAUUAUAUUAUGUUAUAUUAUAUUAUAUUAUAUUAUAUUAUAUUAUAACUUGUGACAUAAUUGUAUCGUAUUUAAAAUUAUCAUUUUUUUAUAGAAUGAUUGUUGAGCAUAAUAAAAUCAAUCAAGAAACUUUGAUACUUAAAUUCAAGUUUCACCAUAUAUAAAUAUAUUUGAAUUUUCCUCUAAAUUUAUUCUAAUUCAUUGAAUUGAGUUGAAUUAAUUAUUUAAUUUUAAUGCUUGUAUGGAUAAAUUUCGAUUAGAAUAAUCAAUAUAUAUCAUCAAAAUUAAUUAAUUAACUCUUUAUUACAAAAAUACCUUCCUCAAUAUUCCAUUACAAAAAUAUAUUUAUAUACUAGACACUCGCUAAUGAGUACCGCAUCCUCAAAAUUGUAACAUUGCCAUGGCAUAUAAGCUAUAAGUACGUUUUUGCCCAAUGCGAGUUCGCCACCAACCGUAACUGCACCGUCCGCUAAAAUUUGCCACAAAUCAUGAAUUAGUAUCUACAUCUACUCUCUAAAAAAAAAUUCAAUUGUUUCGAACUUUCUAGUUUGGAAUGGGAAUAUUUACGGAAUCCCCAUGAAUAGGAUCAAACCUUAUUCCAUGGUAUUUACAUGAGAUUCCUCUUUCUUAUUCUUAAGCAAGUCCCCGAUACCAAGCUUCACUUACUAUAAAUACAAUAACUUUAUUUUUGUAAUUUGCACAUAAUAUUCACAACAAUCACACAUCCAAACACAAAAGCUACAAUGUAAAUCCACCUCUAGCCUAAGCUAAUAGACAAUUAUGCCAUUGUUAAUUUAAUCCUUUCGUUCGGACUAUCACCGGAGCAGACGAGAGGGUUACUUUCGAUCCACAAAUGCUCCGACCGACCAACCUUGAUCGAUCAAUGCUACCAAUAUCUUCCAUUUCCCCCAACAGCCAUUCGGUAAAAAGAACCAUUGCGAGUCAUAGUUGAAAGUACAGCAAAGUAAAAUAACCACUGCUGCUGCUGCUGCAACCAUAAUCCAAGUGUUGCCAACACCUUCCAUUUCCACAAACCGGUCCCUCGCAAGGAGCACUAUUGUAGGUGGUUGCUCCACAAAUUAAUAUAAUAUCAUCACCACCAUGGUCCAACCACCGCGGAGUAAAACUACUGUCAUAGCCGCCAUAAUUUAAGUUCCGUGA
RNAcentral lists this long non-coding RNA (11357 nucleotides) under Gossypium barbadense (sea-island cotton). RNAcentral describes it as "long non-coding RNA (GBAR_LNC018928)". Lineage: Eukaryota; Viridiplantae; Streptophyta; Magnoliopsida; Malvales; Malvaceae. The record is from RNAcentral.